This 472-nucleotide ribosomal RNA is filed under the name uncultured bacterium. RNAcentral describes it as "partial 16S ribosomal RNA". It matches the Rfam family "Bacterial small subunit ribosomal RNA", at positions 28 to 507 of the family's 1533-position model. The record is from RNAcentral.
GACGAACGCUGGCGGCGUGCUUAACACAUGCAAGUCGAACGCUGAAGCUUGGUGCUUGCACUGGGUGGAUGAGUGGCGAAAGGGUGAGUAAUACGUGAGUAACCUGCCCUUGACUCUGGGAUAAGCCUGGGAAACUGGGUCUAAUACUGGAUACGACAUGUCACCGCAUGGUGGUGUGUGGAAAGGGUUUUACUGGUUUUGGAUGGGCUCACGGCCUAUCAGCUUGUUGGUGGGGUAAUGGCUCACCAAGGCGACGACGGGUAGCCGGCCUGAGAGGGUGACCGGCCACACUGGGACUGAGACACGGCCCAGACUCCUACGGGAGGCAGCAGUGGGGAAUAUUGCACAAUGGGCGGAAGCCUGAUGCAGCGACGCCGCGUGAGGGAUGACGGCCUUCGGGUUGUAAACCUCUUUCAGCACGGAAGAAGCGAAAGUGACGGUACGUGCAGAAGAAGCGCCGGCUAACUACGUG